GCAUUAAUAGCUCAGCGUCAGAGCAUCGGUCUUGUAAGCCGAACGCCAAAGGUUAAACUCCUUUUUAAUGCU
Molecule: transfer RNA, 72 nt
Filed under: Phenacostethus smithi
Lineage: Eukaryota; Metazoa; Chordata; Actinopteri; Atheriniformes; Phallostethidae
Description: tRNA-Thr
Rfam family: tRNA
About the family: Transfer RNA (tRNA) molecules are approximately 80 nucleotides in length. Their secondary structure includes four short double-helical elements and three loops (D, anti-codon, and T loops). Further hydrogen bonds mediate the characteristic L-shaped molecular structure. tRNAs have two regions of fundamental functional importance: the anti-codon, which is responsible for specific mRNA codon recognition, and the 3' end, to which the tRNAs corresponding amino acid is attached (by aminoacyl-tRNA synthetases). tRNAs cope with the degeneracy of the genetic code in two manners: having more than one tRNA (with a specific anti-codon) for a particular amino acid; and 'wobble' base-pairing, i.e. permitting non-standard base-pairing at the 3rd anti-codon position.
Source: RNAcentral